GACACAACAUCCAUGACUACUAAAUGUUCUUGCAAGCUUUUUUAGUCCAAGGGAAUUGUGUGCCGUCACAUUAUUAGGGUAUUGAGGAGUGCGAAAAUAAAUGAAUUGCCAAGCCUUUAUAUUCUUAAGCGAUGGCAGAAAAAUUGCAAAAGGGACAUUGUCUAUGAUGGGGAAGGGAAUGUGCUUGAAGAAAAUUUAGCAGAUCCGAUUGACAUUGCUGUGAAAAGGAAGAUAGUUGUUGUGAGGGACAAGCUAGAAGAUCUCAUACAAAAAUCCAAAUGCUCCAUGGAAGGAAUUGAAUUCCUGCACAAUAGUUUGUGUGGCAUUGAGUUGGGUUUAGCCCAACUAGUUUCGACCGUACCAUGCAAUACACAAGAAAAUGAGGAGUCGUGUAUUAGGAGUGUUAUUCCAAAGGAUGUUACCAUCCUCACACCUAAGGAUAUCAAUGCAAGGGGCACAUGCUCUAGAAUAAAAGGCCAUAGGGAUGGUGCGAGGAGUGGAUCCGGUGAGAAGAGAAGGCCUGGAAUUAAUCAAAAAGUCGCGCGCAAAUGCAGCAUUUGUAAGGAAAUGGCGUUUCAUGAUGCAAGAACAUGUUCUAAGAAACAAAAAACAAAACAGUAGAGGUAGGUCGAAUUGAUCAAGUCUAUAAGAGUCCAACCUCUCCCAGCAGGAAGCUCGAUUACCAGGAAGCACUAACACAAGGCAGAAUGAUAGAUAGUUUUGGUCUUGUACCAGCAAGACGCUUGUUGGGCGAUGAUAAUUUCAGUUUUUACCACUUGGUCUUAUCGGCCAUAUAUUGAAAAUGAUCUGUAUGUUUCAUGUACUCAUGUACUCAAAUGCUUGCUGAGCACUAAUAAAUUCAGUCCUUAAUU
This is a long non-coding RNA of Triticum dicoccoides, 872 nucleotides long. RefSeq lists it as uncharacterized. NCBI's taxonomy places the organism in Eukaryota, Viridiplantae, Streptophyta, Magnoliopsida, Poales, Poaceae. The record is from RefSeq and is a predicted model, not a curated record. The transcript has 3 exons.